Molecule: ribosomal RNA, 483 nt
Filed under: uncultured bacterium
Lineage: Bacteria
Description: partial 16S ribosomal RNA
Rfam family: Bacterial small subunit ribosomal RNA
Source: RNAcentral
AUUGAACGCUGGCGGCAGGCCUAACACAUGCAAGUCGAGCGGAUGAGGGAGCUUGCUCCUGGAUUCAGCGGCGGACGGGUGAGUAAUGCCUAGGAAUCUGCCUGGUAGUGGGGGAUAACGUCCGGAAACGGGCGCUAAUACCGCAUACGUCCUGAGGGAGAAAGUGGGGGAUCUUCGGACCUCACGCUAUCAGAUGAGCCUAGGUCGGAUUAGCUAGUUGGUGGGGUAAAGGCCUACCAAGGCGACGAUCCGUAACUGGUCUGAGAGGAUGAUCAGUCACACUGGAACUGAGACACGGUCCAGACUCCUACGGGAGGCAGCAGUGGGGAAUAUUGGACAAUGGGCGAAAGCCUGAUCCAGCCAUGCCGCGUGUGUGAAGAAGGUCUUCGGAUUGUAAAGCACUUUAAGUUGGGAGGAAGGGCAGUAAGUUAAUACCUUGCUGUUUUGACGUUACCAACAGAAUAAGCACCGGCUAACUUCGUG